Long non-coding RNA from Corvus hawaiiensis (hawaiian crow), 1096 nucleotides. RefSeq lists it as uncharacterized. The record is from RefSeq and is a predicted model, not a curated record. Lineage: Eukaryota; Metazoa; Chordata; Aves; Passeriformes; Corvidae. The transcript has 2 exons.
UCUUUUCCACUUCUACUGAAGCUAAAGUCUGCUGUGAACACUGAGUGAAGAGGUGGAGAAUCAGGGGUCCUAUUUAUGGCUUUCUAAGUCCAUAGAAAUAAUCACAGGGAAAUUUUGAAAGAGAUCUUUAACUACCUAACACUCCUCCUGAAAAGUAAUCUCCUGUCAAAUCCAGCUGUGCAAUGGGACAGCUAGUUACCUGAGGCUUUGUUACACUUUUUAAAGAAGCCAACAAAACAACUCCCGCUGGGAGAGGCGAUAUUUCCGGACUGCUAAUGUCACAGCGUGACCUGUUAAUAACCUGCAAGAGCCUUCCUCCACUCCGCUGCCUCCUGCUCCCCCAGGACCCGGCAGCUGCCGUCACAUGGAUCGAAUGCCUGCCUUCUAUGCGCUUCAUUGAGAAAAAUUCAAGCAUGUGGCCUGAGGUUCCCCUGAUGACUGUCUGGGGAUGAUGAUUUCUACCAUCUGUUCUGGCUGCCUGUGGCUCCCGGAAACACCGAGGUGUAUGUUGCUUCUGGCCAUAUGUGGGAUUCCUAAUGAAACCUCAGCUGCUGUCCAACUGUCUGUGAAUAUCAGAUGGGUUUGAAUUAUCUUCCGCCAAGAGGGGAGGGAGAAGCACUUUGUUUAACUCUUUAAUCUGAACCACUAGACAGCACAUGCAUAAUCACAGGGUACAAAGCCGCUGAAUUAUUAGCAUCUGCAUCACGGUGGCAGCUGUAGCGUUUGCACGUGUGCUGGGUCUGUCUCAUUCAAGAUGCCCAGGCUGGUUGUUUCCAGGCUAAAUAUAAAGCCUCGAGUGAAAUUCAUCUUACUUUAGCUCACUUGGAAGCCUUAUAAUUAUACCAGAGAUUUAUUUGAUCCCUUCACUUCUGACUUGUGUUAAAGACACAUUUCAGACAUAUAAAUUGUAUAUCAGUAUAUGAAAAAGGUUGCUUAUCAAAUGUUUUAAAUGCAGCUGAGGAAUUGCAGCAUUUCCAAAGUUAUUUAUUGAGAUAGAGGAAGUCAGGGCAAAUUGAUAUUAGUUUUGAUAUAUGAAAGAGACUUUUGUGCAAAAAACCUUUGUAAUGAAUAAACACAAAUCACUUCUCUUUCAGGA